Molecule: ribosomal RNA, 253 nt
Filed under: uncultured bacterium
Lineage: Bacteria
Description: partial 16S ribosomal RNA
Rfam family: Bacterial small subunit ribosomal RNA
Source: RNAcentral
UACGGAGGGUGCAAACGUUGCUCGGAAUCAUUGGGCGUAAAGCGCACGUAGGCGGCUUGUUAAGUCGGAUGUGAAAGCCCUCGGCUCAACCGAGGAAGUGCAUACGAAACUGGCGAGCUUGAAUAUGGAAGAGGGUCGCGGAAUUCCCGGUGUAGAGGUGAAAUUCGUAGAUAUCGGGAGAAACACCAGUGGCGAAGGCGGCGACCUGGGCCAAUAUUGACGCUGAGGUGCGAAAGCGUGGGGAGCAAACGGG